AUUCAAAGUAACACAGGAAACCCACAACCAAGAGAUUUUCCAGGAAUUCCAAAAAGGAAAUUAUUUUCAGGCAGCACAGGAAGCCCAUAACUCAAAAUUUUUUCAGGAAGGAAGAAAGGAAGCUUCUUUAGUUUGCCACGGUAAAAACAUCAGUCGAUUGCCUAAAAAUAUUUAAAAGUAAAGAUUUACGAUUAAAAAGCUAGUUACUGUUUUA
Long non-coding RNA from Actinia tenebrosa (Australian red waratah sea anemone), 214 nucleotides. Lineage: Eukaryota; Metazoa; Cnidaria; Anthozoa; Actiniaria; Actiniidae. The record is from RefSeq and is a predicted model, not a curated record.